GACGAACGCUGGCGGCGUGCUUAACACAUGCAAGUCGAGCGGUAAGGCCCUUUCGGGGGUACGACGAGCGGCGAACGGGUGAGUAACACGUGGGUGACCUGCCCUCAGCUCUGGGAGUAAGCCCGGGAAACGUAGGGUCUAAUACCGGAUAUGACUUCAUGACGCAUGUUGUGGAGUGGAAAGCCUUGUGCGGCUGAGGAUGGGCCCGCGGCCUAUCAGCUUGUUGGUGGGGUGAGG
This 237-nucleotide ribosomal RNA is filed under the name uncultured bacterium. Its description in RNAcentral is "partial 16S ribosomal RNA". It matches the Rfam family "Bacterial small subunit ribosomal RNA", at positions 28 to 262 of the family's 1533-position model. The record is from RNAcentral.